This is a non-coding RNA of Podarcis lilfordi (Lilford's wall lizard), 70 nucleotides long. The record is from the annotation of a GenBank genome assembly. Lineage: Eukaryota; Metazoa; Chordata; Lepidosauria; Squamata; Lacertidae.
GAGAUAGUUCAGAUGGUAGAGCAUGAGAUUCUGAAUCUCAGGGUUGUGGGUUUGAGCCUUGUGUUGGGCA